Molecule: ribosomal RNA, 328 nt
Filed under: uncultured bacterium
Lineage: Bacteria
Description: bacterial SSU rRNA
Rfam family: Bacterial small subunit ribosomal RNA
Source: RNAcentral
AUUGAACGCUGGCGGCAUGCCUUACACAUGCAAGUCGAACGGCAGCACGGGAGCAAUCCUGGUGGCGAGUGGCGAACGGGUGAGUAAUAUAUCGGAACGUGCCCAGUCGUGGGGGAUAACGUAGCGAAAGCUACGCUAAUACCGCAUACGAUCUAUGGAUGAAAGCGGGGGAUCGCAAGACCUCGCGCGAUUGGAGCGGCCGAUAUCAGAUUAGGUAGUUGGUGAGGUAAAGGCUCGCCAAGCCGACGAUCUGUAGCUGGUCUGAGAGGACGACCAGCCACACUGGGACUGAGACAGGCCCAGACUCUACGGAGGCAGCAGUGGGGAA